Molecule: long non-coding RNA, 365 nt
Organism: Ailuropoda melanoleuca (giant panda)
Lineage: Eukaryota; Metazoa; Chordata; Mammalia; Carnivora; Ursidae
Exons: 3
Source: RefSeq, a predicted model, not a curated record
ACGGGAGCAGCGCGAGGAAUGCUGGGAUACUGGAGGUCCACCCCAGCGCUUCCUGCGGGUUUAGCGAUCCGUCAGAGUUAGAGAUGGAUCAUUUUGUGCGUUUAUUGUUUUAUCUGGACUUUCUGAAUUGACAAAUUUGGCAUCCGGGAAGAAAUGGUGAGGGACUGCUAAAUGCCUGAUAUCUGGAGGAAGGACUGAUUUCAAAGUCACCUUCAUUUUGACCUCAGGAAGCUACAGUUAAUUAGCCAGCCAUGAAGAACUGAGAAGACAGGUCUACGCAUCAAGUCUCUAGGAUGUCCUUGCAGGAGAUAGAGACAGACAGCGAGAGAGGGAACACAAGCAGGGGGAGUGGGAGAGGAAGAAGC